AUGCUGGUGUAUGUUGAUAAUAUUGUGAUUGCUGGCUUUACCCCUGCUGUGGUGGAUCGUUUUGUGCAGUCGUUGUCUGCUAGCUUUCCCAUCAAAGACUUGGGUCGCCUCGAGUACUUUUUUGGUUUGGAAGCGUUCUUUCAUUCAAGGGGCAUGACCUUGACGCAGAAAAAGUAUGCUUUGGAUCUUCUUCAUCACGUCAACAUGGAGAACUGCAAGGCCACUUCCACUCCGCUUGCUACAUCCGAGAGUCUCUCACGUUAUAGUGGUGCACUACUGGGUAGAGAUGACUCCUUUCGGUAUCGCAGUGUGGUUGGAGCACUUCAGUAUUUGACCCUCACCCGCCCUGAUAUCUCCUUCGCAGUGAACAAAGUGUGUCAGUUCCUGUCUCAAUCAACGGAGGAUCAUUGGAAAGCAGUCAAGCGUAUUCUGAGAUAUUUCAAAGGUAUGCUAGACAUGGACUACGGAUUCGUAACUCCAGAUUCACUGGAGUGA
Molecule: ribosomal RNA, 495 nt
Filed under: Triticum aestivum (bread wheat)
Lineage: Eukaryota; Viridiplantae; Streptophyta; Magnoliopsida; Poales; Poaceae
Description: partial small subunit ribosomal RNA
Source: RNAcentral